UACGUAGGGUCCGAGCGUUGUCCGGAAUUACUGGGCGUAAAGAGCUCGUAGGUGGUUUGUCGCGUUGUUCGUGAAAACUCACAGCUUAACUGUGGGCGUGCGGGCGAUACGGGCAGACUGGAGUACUGCAGGGGAGACUGGAAUUCCUGGUGUAGCGGUGAAAUGCGCAGAUAUCAGGAAGAACACCAAUGGCGAAAGCAGCUCUCUGGGACGGUACUGACGCUGAGACGCGAAAGCGUGGGGAGCGAACAGG
RNAcentral lists this ribosomal RNA (253 nucleotides) under uncultured bacterium. Its description in RNAcentral is "partial 16S ribosomal RNA". It matches the Rfam family "Bacterial small subunit ribosomal RNA", at positions 524 to 776 of the family's 1533-position model. The record is from RNAcentral.